CGGGAAGAGCUCAAAUUUGAAAUCUGGCGGCUCAGUCGUCCGAGUUGUAAUCUGGAGAAGUGUCUUCCGCGUCGGACCGUGUACAAGUCUCUUGGAACAGAGCGUCGUAGAGGGUGAGAAUCCCGUCUUUGACACGGACUACCGAUGCAAUGUGAUGCACUCUCGAA
Molecule: ribosomal RNA, 167 nt
Filed under: Gomphaceae sp.
Lineage: Eukaryota; Fungi; Basidiomycota; Agaricomycetes; Gomphales; Gomphaceae
Description: partial large subunit ribosomal RNA
Rfam family: Eukaryotic large subunit ribosomal RNA
Source: RNAcentral